CAUAGCGACUAUCGUGGCAUAUCAAUAAGCGGAGGAAAAGAAACUAACAAGGAUUCCCUUAGUAACGGCGAGUGAAGCGGGAAGAGCUCAAAUUUGAAAUCUUCAAGGUUCUACCUUGACGAAUUGUAGUUUAUAGAAGUGUUUUCUGUUAGUGGAGUGGCAAAAGUUCUUUGGAAUAGGACAUCAUAGAGGGUGAGAAUCCCGUAUUUGGUCAUUCCUCCUAGCGUUGUGAUACACUUUCAACGAGUCGGAUUGUUUGGGAAUGCAGUCCAAAAUGGGUGGUAAAUUUCAUCUAAAGCUAAAUAUUGGCGAGAGACCGAUAGCGAACGAGUACCGUGAGGGAAAGAUGAAAAGAACUUUGAAAAGAGAGUUAAACAGUACGUGAAAUUGUCAAAAGGGAAGCGUUUGACACCAGUGUUGUUUUUCCGAAAAUCAAUUACGAAUGUUUUGUUUUUGAGGAGUUAUGACUUCAUCGGCUUGCUCCUUUCUUUACGAAACUUUCUUAAUGCACUUUUCGGUUAACAAGUCAACAUCAAUUUCUUUUGUUGUAAAAGGGUAAGAGGAAGGUGGCUUACGCUUCGGCGUAAGUGUUUAUAGCCUUUUACCUCUGCAAUCGGAGAGAUUGAGGACAGCAGCGUAGACUCUUCGGGGUUAGAUACACUUGUGCUAAGCUAUAGCCUUGUAUAGACAACUUGUUGACUAUGCUCAGUCAUGUAGCUUACUCGCAUUGUGCUAUUUUACCUACGCUUAGGAUGUUGACGAGACUGUCGAUCUC
This 775-nucleotide ribosomal RNA is filed under the name uncultured Neocallimastigales. Its description in RNAcentral is "partial large subunit ribosomal RNA". It matches the Rfam family "Eukaryotic large subunit ribosomal RNA", at positions 22 to 647 of the family's 3401-position model. Lineage: Eukaryota; Fungi; Neocallimastigomycota; Neocallimastigomycetes; Neocallimastigales. The record is from RNAcentral.